GUUGGGCAUCUUCCACUGCCCUCACUUGACCAUUUGCUGAGCGACUCUACAACUGUUAGCCCACUUCACUCCUGGCCCCUCACCAGGCCUCCAUGCCCCCACUGGGCCUCUUCCCUCUUUACUAUGCCCCUCUCUCAGGGCUUCUACUUACUUGCCCACUCACAGGGCCUCUCUCUCCAUCACUCCUCUAUCUCAGGGUUUCUACUCAUGCCCCCAGGCUUUACCCUGCUGCCAGGGUGCAGCUCUGGGUGCCUCCU
This is a long non-coding RNA of Gavialis gangeticus (Gharial), 257 nucleotides long. RefSeq lists it as uncharacterized. The transcript is spliced from 4 exons. NCBI's taxonomy places the organism in Eukaryota, Metazoa, Chordata, Crocodylia, Gavialidae. The record is from RefSeq and is a predicted model, not a curated record.